This 482-nucleotide ribosomal RNA is filed under the name uncultured bacterium. RNAcentral's name for it is "partial 16S ribosomal RNA". It matches the Rfam family "Bacterial small subunit ribosomal RNA", at positions 356 to 830 of the family's 1533-position model. The record is from RNAcentral.
AGGGAAUCUUCCACAAUGGACGAAAGUCUGAUGGAGCAACGCCGCGUGAGUGAAGAAGGUUUUCGGAUCGUAAAGCUCUGUUGUUGGUGAAGAAGGAUAGAGGCAGUAACUGGUCUUUAUUUGACGGUAAUCAACCAGAAAGUCACGGCUAACUACGUGCCAGCAGCCGCGGUAAUACGUAGGUGGCAAGCGUUGUCCGGAUUUAUUGGGCGUAAAGCGAGCGCAGGCGGAAUGAUAAGUCUGAUGUGAAAGCCCACGGCUCAACCGUGGAACUGCAUCGGAAACUGUCAUUCUUGAGUGCAGAAGAGGAGAGUGGAACUCCAUGUGUAGCGGUGGAAUGCGUAGAUAUAUGGAAGAACACCAGUGGCGAAGGCGGCUCUCUGGUCUGCAACUGACGCUGAGGCUCGAAAGCAUGGGUAGCGAACAGGAUUAGAUACCCUGGUAGUCCAUGCCGUAAACGAUGAGCGCUAGGUGUUGGGGAC